AGCGGGGUGGGGUAGCCAGGAUAACCCGCUGGGCUCAUAAUCCGGAGAUCCGUGGUUCAAAUCCACGCCCCGCUACCA
Molecule: transfer RNA, 78 nt
Filed under: Methanobacteriota archaeon
Lineage: Archaea; Methanobacteriati; Methanobacteriota
Also listed under: 1 other name
Description: Euryarchaeota archaeon tRNA-Met
Rfam family: tRNA
About the family: Transfer RNA (tRNA) molecules are approximately 80 nucleotides in length.
Source: RNAcentral